GUCACGUGUCGUCAUCGUUCUUGACGUUUCUGGGAGGAGCGCAAAGGAGCGGAAGUCGGAAACAGAUUGAAACGAACGCUUGAACCGUUGACCCCGGUUUGUCAGUACUGUGAGAAAACUGAAUUACCGAAGGAACUUGGAUGCUAAAACAAGCGUUUGAGCUGCUUUACUGUCGAGUAGGAGUCAGCCUGGACGCUGAAUACACCUACGGCGCCAAGGUGUCACCACUUUUUCCACCACAUCGUCCAUGAUCGCCCGAGACAUUGUCAACGAUCGGAGAGACAUUGUUGAGGAUGAGGGAGACAUGGUCCACGAUCAGAGACGUCGUCUAUGGUCGCAGAGACCUUGUCAACGACGAGAGAGACGUUGUCCAUGGUCAGAGACAUUGUCCCAUGCUUCGUAGAGACCUUGCGAUAGAAUCGGCGGAGACGGGGGUCACCGAUUUGACGGCACUGCCCGCGAUCAUGGAGACAUUGUCGAUGAUCACAGAGACAGCGUCUAUGAUCUCAGAGACAUCGUCCACGAUCACAAAGACAUUGUCCAUGAUCACAGAGACUUUGUCCAUAAUCUCAGAGACAUUGUCCGCGAUCACAGAGACAUAGUCCACGAUCACAGAGACGUAGUCCAUGAUUACAGAAAGUCUCAUUCAAUGAGGAAGUUCUUUGAGACCAGGACAGAGGCCUCCAGGUGUCACCACUUUUUCCACCACAUCAUCCAUGAUCGCCCGAGACAUCGUCCACGAUCGGAGAGACAUUGUUGAGGAUGAGGGAGACAUGGUCCACGAUCAGAGACGUCGUCUAUGGUCGCAGAGACCUUGUCAAAGACGAGAGAGACGUUGUCCAUGGUCAGAGACAUUGUCCCAUGCUUCGUAGAGACCUUGCGAUAGAAUCGGCGGAGACGGGGGUCACCGAUUUGACGGCACUGCCCGCGAUCAUGGAGACAUUGUCGAUGAUCACAGAGACAGCGUCUAUGAUCUCAGAGACAUCGUCCACGAUCACAAAGACAUUGUCCAUGAUCACAGAGACUUUGUCCAUAAUCUCAGAGACAUUGUCCGCGAUCACAGAGACAUAGUCCACGAUCACAGAGACGUAGUCCAUGAUUACAGAAAGUCUCAUUCAAUGAGGAAGUUCUUUGAGACCAGGACAGAGGCCUCCAGGUGUCACCACUUUUUCCACCACAUCGUCCACGAUUGCUGAGACAUCGUCAACGAUCGGAGAGACAUUGUUGAGGAUGAGGGAGACAUGGUCCACGAUCAGAGACGUCGUCUAUGGUCGCAGAGACCUUGUCAAAGACGAGAGAGACGUUGUCCAUGGUCAGAGACAUUGUCCCAUGCUUCGUAGAGACCUUGCGAUAGAAUCGGCGGAGACUGGGGUCACCGAUUUGACGGCACUGCCCGCGAUCAUGGAGACAUUGUCGAUGAUCACAGAGACAGCGUCUAUGAUCUCAGAGACAUCGUCCACGAUCACAAAGACAUUGUCCAUGAUCACAGAGACUUUGCCCAUAAUCUCAGAGACAUUGUCCGCGAUCACAAAGACGUAGUCCACGAUCACAGAAAGUCUCAUUCAAUGAGGAAGUUCUUUGAGACCAGGACAGAGGCCUCCAGGUGUCACCACUUUUUCCACCACAUCGUCCAUGAUCGCCCGAGACAUCGUCCACGAUCGGAGAGACAUUGUUGAGGAUGAGGGAGACAUGGUCCACGAUCAGAGACGUCGUCUAUGGUCGCAGAGACCUUGUCAAAGACGAGAGAGACGUUGUCCAUGGUCAGAGACAUUGUCCCAUGCUUCGUAGAGACCUUGCGAUAGAAUCGGCGGAGACUGGGGUCACCGAUUUGACGGCACUGCCCGCGAUCAUGGAGACAUUGUCGAUGAUCACACAGACAGCGUCUAUGAUCUCAGAGACAUCGUCCACGAUCACAGAGACUUUGUCCAUAAUCUCAGAGACUUUGUCCAUAAUCUCAGAGACUUUGUCCAUAAUCUCAGAGACUUUGUCCAUAAUCUCAGAGACUUUGUCCGCGAUCACAGAGCCGUAGUCCACGAUCACAGAGAGUCUUCGUACAAUGAAGAAGUUCUUUGAGACCAGGACAGAGUCCUCCAGGUAAUUCAAGUAAUGUAAAAGUAAUGAGCAACAACAGAAGUAAGAUGUAAUAGUCAUAGUAAUCUGUUACUGGAUUUAGUUUCAACAGUAAAAGUUAU
This is a long non-coding RNA of Lates calcarifer (barramundi perch), 2192 nucleotides long. RefSeq lists it as uncharacterized. The transcript is spliced from 5 exons. Lineage: Eukaryota; Metazoa; Chordata; Actinopteri; Centropomidae. The record is from RefSeq and is a predicted model, not a curated record.